AUUGAACGCUGGCGGAAUGCUUUACACAUGCAAGUCGAACGGUAGAGGGGGCAACCCCUCGAGAGUGGCGAACGGGUGAGUAAUAUAUCGGAACGUGCCCAGUCGUGGGGGAUAACGUAGCGAAAGUUACGCUAAUACCGCAUACGAUCUAAGGAUGAAAGCGGGGGAUCGCAAGACCUCGCGCGAUUGGAGCGGCCGAUAUCAGAUUAGGUAGUUGGUGGGGUAAAGGCUCACCAAGCCAACGAUCUGUGGCUGGUCUGAGAGGACGACCAGCCACACUGGAACUGAGACACGGUCCAGACGCCUACGGGAGGCAGCAGUGGGGAAUUUUGGACAAUGGACGCAAGUCUGAUCCAGCCAUUCCGCGUGCAGGAUGAAGGCCCUCGGGUUGUAAACUGCUUUUGUACGGAACGAAAAGGUCUCUCUUAAUACGGGGGACUCAUGACGGUACCGUAAGAAUAAGCACCGGCUAACUACGUGCCAGCAGCCGCCGCCG
RNAcentral lists this ribosomal RNA (496 nucleotides) under uncultured bacterium. RNAcentral's name for it is "partial 16S ribosomal RNA". It matches the Rfam family "Bacterial small subunit ribosomal RNA", at positions 30 to 523 of the family's 1533-position model. The record is from RNAcentral.